This 498-nucleotide ribosomal RNA is filed under the name Mesomycoplasma moatsii. RNAcentral's name for it is "bacterial LSU rRNA". It matches the Rfam family "Bacterial large subunit ribosomal RNA", at positions 1 to 500 of the family's 2925-position model. Lineage: Bacteria; Bacillati; Mycoplasmatota; Mycoplasmoidales; Metamycoplasmataceae. The record is from RNAcentral.
UUUUAAAUAAGAAAGAGCUUUUGGUGGAUGCCUUGGGUAUGGAAGUCGAUGAAGGACGUGAUAACCUGCGAUAAGCCUCGCUGAGUUGGACAUGAACUAUGAAGCGGGGAUUUCCGAAUGGGGGAACCCAACUGGAGUAAUAACCAGUUAUUGUAAAGUGAAUUCAUAGCUUUACAAAGAGACACGCUGUGAACUGAAACAUCUUAGUAACAGCAGGAAAAGAAAAUAAAUAAUGAUUCUGUUAGUAGUGGCGAGCGAACGCGGAAGAGCCCAAACCAGUUUACUGGGGUUGUAGGACAUUCUACAUAGAGUUACAAAAUUGCUGCAUAGAAGAACAAUUUGGAAAAAUUGACCACAGAAGGUGAAAGUCCUGUAUUUGAAAUGUAGUAGUCUCUUGAAUGUAUCCUGAGUAGGGCGGGGCACGUGAAACCCUGUCUGAAUCUGCCGGGACCACCCGGUAAGGCUAAAUACUAACCAUACACCGAUAGUGAACAAGUA